AGUCAGUCUGCCAGAGAGUCCUGGAAGAAGUUAGAGUCCUGGAGAAAGCCAGUGUGCAGUUUGGAAAAGAGGGAGAAGGAGAAUCUCUCUGAAGACACAGUUGGAGAACCAGAGCUGAGGAAUUGCUAGCACAGGCUGAGAGAUUCAGUGCUGUGUCUGGAACAAGGGCUGUAAUCGCAAGAAGAGCCAGGCUGGGUUGAACCCCAGGCCUGAACCGUGAUCAGAAUAAGAGACUGCACAACAAGCCAGUUGUUGAGAAGGAGGGAGUUCUUCACGUUCAAAAUGGCGAUUCUCCACCUGCAAUCUGAAGUGGGACAAUCCAUUCCAUUACCUCCGUUCUCUGCCAUCUCUCACUGGCAUCUCAUGCUGUGGGUCAGCCCCAUGGCUCAACUUACCCAGUCCGGUAGGAAGUCUUUGGGCCCCAUAACCAGGAUAUUUCCCUACGAAGAUGAAAACCAGAGAGGGUGGCAGCAGAGAAAAACAAGACAGCGGAACAAUUAUAGCUCAGGCUAUCUUGCCAAUCACAGCAUGCAGUCUUUUUAAAAAAGCAUAUAUUAGUUACGACUAACUUGUUCUAUUAGUUGCAACAGGACUGCUCAUGAGUAAU
This is a long non-coding RNA of Hemicordylus capensis (graceful crag lizard), 607 nucleotides long. RefSeq lists it as uncharacterized. The transcript has 3 exons. The record is from RefSeq and is a predicted model, not a curated record. NCBI's taxonomy places the organism in Eukaryota, Metazoa, Chordata, Lepidosauria, Squamata, Cordylidae.